Molecule: long non-coding RNA, 1072 nt
Filed under: Dasypus novemcinctus (nine-banded armadillo)
Lineage: Eukaryota; Metazoa; Chordata; Mammalia; Cingulata; Dasypodidae
Description: lncRNA (ENSDNOG00000051629.1)
Source: RNAcentral
AAAACUGUUGUGUCCAAUAUUGUAGCCACUACCUCCAGGUGGCUACUGAAUACUUGAAAUAUGGUUAGUCCUAACAUGUGCUGUAAAUGUAAAAUUCAUACAGUAUGUGAACUGUCUCAUUAAUUUUAUAUUGAUGACAUGUUGAAAUGAUAAUAUUAUAGAUCUAUCAGGUUAAAGAACAUAUAUUGGGAGAGCCGCCCUGCGCAAAAAAAGUGCAGCCUGCCCAAGAGUGGCACCACACACACGGAGAGCUGACGCAGCAAGGUGACACAACAAAAAGAGACACAGAUUCCCAGUGCCACUGCCAAGAAUACAAGCAGACACAGAAGAACACACAGCAAAUGGACACAGAGGGCAGACAACUGGGGUCGGGGGUGGGGAAUAAAUUAAAAAAUAAACAAUGUCAUCAAUUAUUAAAAAAAUGUUGAAAUUAAUUUCACUAGUUCCUCUUUACUUUUGUAGUGUGGAAACUAGAGCUUUAAAGCUACAUUUGCGGUUUGCAUUUAUAACUUACAUUAUAUUUCUGUUGGACAGUGCUAUUCUAAAAUGUUAUUAACUUUAAAAAACUCUUUAUUUGUAGAUGAAGAAAAAACUCCAGAACAAAUUAUGCAAGAAAAGCAUAUUGAAGCGUAUGUCCUAUUUUUCUAUUUAUUUGUGAUUUUUACUAGGGUUUAAUCAUAUCUAUCUGUGAAAAUUAUCUUUUCUUUAUCCAAAUAAUUUGUCAUGCAUGUAUUGGAAAGUUGUUGAUUUAGGAUGGAGACUUCCAUAUACAUGAGUGAUCAUAUUAUCACUUAUCAGGGUAUCUCAGGAGAUGUCAGUUUACCAAAGUGUUGUACUGAUAAACGUGCAACAGUAUGGUGAGCCUGUAGAAUACAUUUAUUUCAGUAGAGGCAUUUUACAGUUUUCAAAGGUUUAUUUUGUGAUCUUGCUGAGAUGUUUUUGUUCACAUUUCUUUUUUAGUAAAAUUGAAGACCUAGAAAAUGAAAUUGAAGAGUCAAAAAUUGCUUUUGAAAUGAAACGUCUUGCAUUAGACAGGAUGCAGCUUUCAUCUGCACUUAAAAAAAACCUGAGA